CCGCGAAUUCGCCCUUCGGGGUGCAGCAGGCGCGAAAACUCUACAAUGCAGGCAACUGCGAUAGGGGAACAUCGAGUGAUCCUCAUAUUGGGGGUCUGUCCACCCGUCUAAAAAACGGGUGUUAGCAAGGGCCGGGCAAGACCGGUGCCAGCCGCCGCGGUAAUACCGGCGGCUCGAGUGGUGGCCGAUAUUAUUGAGUCUAAAGGGUCCGUAGCCGGCUUUGCAAGUCUCUCGGGAAACCCAGCGGCUUAACCGUUGGUCGUCCGGGGGGUACUACAUUGCUUGGGACUGGGAGAGGUAGGAGGUACUCAGGGGGUAGGAGUGAAAUCCUGUAAUCCUUUGGGGACCACCGGUGGCGAAGGCGUCCUACCAGAACAGGUCCGACGGUGAGGGACGAAAGCUAGGGGCACGAACCGGAUUAGAUACCCGGGUAGUCCUAGCCGUAAACGAUGCUCGCUAGGUGUCACAACAGUCGUGAACUGUUGUGGUGCCGUAGGGAAGCCGUGAAGCGAGCCACUUGGGAAGUACGACCGCAAGGUUGAAACUUAAAGGAAUUGGCGGGGAGCAC
Molecule: ribosomal RNA, 568 nt
Filed under: uncultured archaeon
Lineage: Archaea
Description: bacterial SSU rRNA
Rfam family: Archaeal small subunit ribosomal RNA
Source: RNAcentral